UUGACCUCGGAUUAGGUAGGAAUACCCG
RNAcentral lists this ribosomal RNA (28 nucleotides) under Hypoxylon pilgerianum. Its description in RNAcentral is "partial 28S ribosomal RNA". Lineage: Eukaryota; Fungi; Ascomycota; Sordariomycetes; Xylariales; Hypoxylaceae. The record is from RNAcentral.